This 39-nucleotide small RNA is filed under the name Arabidopsis thaliana (thale cress). Its description in RNAcentral is "ATSL046430". The record is from RNAcentral. Lineage: Eukaryota; Viridiplantae; Streptophyta; Magnoliopsida; Brassicales; Brassicaceae.
AAAAAUAAAUUAAAGCAAUCUGUCGUAAGAUGAAUAAAA